UGGGCUGUAGUUCAAUUGGUAGAACGUCUGACUCUGGAUCAGGAGGUUGCAGGUUCGAUUCCUGCCAGCCCAG
Molecule: transfer RNA, 73 nt
Filed under: Planctomycetota bacterium
Lineage: Bacteria; Pseudomonadati; Planctomycetota
Also listed under: 1 other name
Description: tRNA-Gln
Rfam family: tRNA
About the family: Transfer RNA (tRNA) molecules are approximately 80 nucleotides in length. Their secondary structure includes four short double-helical elements and three loops (D, anti-codon, and T loops).
Source: RNAcentral